UGGCCCCCAACACCUGUAACUCUGGCUC
RNAcentral lists this non-coding RNA (28 nucleotides) under Mus musculus (house mouse). The record is from RNAcentral. Lineage: Eukaryota; Metazoa; Chordata; Mammalia; Rodentia; Muridae.